Molecule: ribosomal RNA, 466 nt
Filed under: uncultured bacterium
Lineage: Bacteria
Description: partial 16S ribosomal RNA
Rfam family: Bacterial small subunit ribosomal RNA
Source: RNAcentral
GACGAACGCUGGCGGCGUGCUUAACACAUGCAAGUCGAACGGAAAGGCCCUGCUUUUGUGGGGUGCUCGAGUGGCGAACGGGUGAGUAACACGUGAGUAACCUGCCCUUGACUUUGGGAUAACUUCAGGAAACUGGGGCUAAUACCGGCUAGGAGCUCCUGCUGCAUGGUGGGGGUUGGAAAGUUUCGGCUGUUGGGGAUGGACUCGCGGCUUAUCAGCUUGUUGGUGGGGUAGUGGCUUACCAAGGCUUUGACGGGUAGCCGGCCUGAGAGGGUGACCGGCCACAUUGGGACUGGGAUGCGGCCGAGACUCCUACUGGAGGAAGCAGUGGAGAAUAUUGCAGAAUGGGCGGAUGUGUGAUGCAGCACCGCCGCGUGCGGGAUGACGGCCUUCGGGUGGUAAACCGCUUUCGCCUGAGACGAAGCGUGAGUGACGGUAAUGGGUAAAGAAGCACCGGCUAACUACG